This 2919-nucleotide long non-coding RNA is filed under the name Setaria italica (foxtail millet). RNAcentral's name for it is "long non-coding RNA (SITA_LNC004149)". The record is from RNAcentral. Lineage: Eukaryota; Viridiplantae; Streptophyta; Magnoliopsida; Poales; Poaceae.
UUGCAUAAGGUGGUCCAGGCCGAGGACAUUGCUGAGAAGACGGGGCUUGGAUUUCCUCACACAUCUCAUUGCCUUGCAUCUGGAGACAUAAUGAUUUCUUGCCUGGGAGACAAGGAGGGGAAUGCUGCUGGGAAUGGCUUCCUCCUGUUGGAUUCAGAAUUUAAUGUCAAAGGGCGGUAGGUUCUUUUCACAAUAUAGGCAAAUUAAUGUGGAAAAAUAACAUGUAACUAGAGCUAAACUACAGAUAAUAACCUUAUUAUAUUGAACCAGAUCAUGCUGAUAUACAAUUUACCAUGUCAGCAGUAAUAUAUGAUCACACACGGUCCAUAUGUAUGUCAUAUUGUUACUUGACAUGUGAAAAGCAGACAGAUUCAUUAUGCUAAUCUCAUGUAAGUCAAAUUGCUACUUGUAGCUGGGAAAAGCCAGGUCACAGCCCCUUGUUUGGCUAUGACUUCUGGUACCAGCCUCGCCACAAGACGAUGAUCAGUUCAACAUGGGGAGCCCCUGCAGCCUUCAGGACAGGUUUCGAUCUUCAACAUGUCCAGGAUGGUCUCUAUGGAAGGCAUCUGCAUGUGUAUGACUGGCCUGGUGGUGAGCUCAAACAGACGCUUGAUCUAGGUGACACGGGACUUCUCCCCCUUGAGGUAAUAUAAUGUUUAAACUGCAGUAACUACCACCAGAGUGGUUUUGUAUCAGUCUAUGUUUAUUACUUUCGAACUGCCUUUGUUUUUCAUUAAAUGCUACCAGAAUAGUCGGUGCUUGUAGUAUUCUUUCAGGGGCUGUUGUAACGAACUCAGUUGCUACCUGCAGCUGGAGGUUGACAGGCCUCAGUUUUGUGAUGGAUGAUUAAAACUCUCCUUGUCAGUUUCAGAAAAUAUGGGACUGGGACAACUAAGCCACAGUUCUCUGUUUGUUUUUUUCUGCAGGUGAGGUUUUUACAUGACCCAUCAAAGGACACUGGCUAUGUUGGCUGUGCUUUGACAAGCAACAUGGUCAGAUUCUUCAAAACUGCGGAUGGAUCAUGGAGCCACGAGGUCUGCCAUGCGACAUGCUAAAGUUCUCACACCUAAUAAACUUGAUUUUCCAACUUUGCUUACGCUUCCUAAGAUUGUGUUUGUAGGUUGCUAUCGAUGUAAAACCACUGAAAGUCCGCAACUGGAUUCUGCCAGAAAUGCCAGGAUUGAUAACUGAUUUUGUUAUCUCUCUUGAUGACCGCUAUCUCUAUUUGGUCAAUUGGCUUCAUGGGGAUAUCAGGCAGUACAACAUUGAGGACCCUGCAAAGCCUGUCUUGGCUGGACAAGUAUGGGUUGGUGGUCUUCUUCAAAAGGGCAGCGAUGUUGUCUAUCUUACUGAUGAUGGCCAAGAAGAACAGUACAAUGUGCCCCAGGUCAAGGUAAUUUCUCCUCUCAGAACCUUCUUAAUUGAGAAAGUAAUUUAUAUUAAUGAUUUAGAGUUUGUUGGUAGUUGCACAUGGUGCGCUGAGCUAUCAGAGUGUCAAGUACCAAAAAAUGUGCGUCAUCUAUCUUGCCACACUGAUCUGCAUUGCCAUGUUCAACAAACAUUACAUCUCCAUUGAAAUCUAGCACACUCGAAAUAGUCACUACGUUUUGUCUACAUAUUCAGAGGCGAGAACACUAUAGGACAAGAUUGUUGAGAAUAUGUUGGAAUUAGAUAAUCUAAUUCAGUGUGUUUCUUUAUAAUCAGGAGCAUCGACUUAGAGGCGGACCACAGAUGAUUCAGCUGAGCUUGGAUGGCAAGAGGAUUUACGUAACCAAUUCACUUUUCAGCCGAUGGGAUGAACAGUUCUAUGGUGAUGAUCUUGUCAAGAAGGGCUCCCACAUGCUGCAGAUCGAUGUCGACACUGAGAAAGGAGGGCUGGCUAUCAACCCCAACUUCUUUGUAGAUUUUAGCAAAGAGCCUGAUGGUCCUGCCUUGGCCCAUGAGAUGAGAUAUCCUGGUGGGGACUGCACCUCUGAUAUAUGGAUCUAAGGUCAAGGAUUGGCAUAAUAGUCUGCUGGAGGUCGUUGUUGUAUGCACUGUAUUUGAUAUGGUAUCCAUGCAGUGUUUCAUCUUGUAUUGUGACUACUCCAAUGGACUAACUAAUAAGCCAUGGUUUCAUGAGAACUUGAGCUUAAUAAAAGAUCUUUCAAUUCUGAAUUCCUGAUUCUGUCGCCCGCGAUAAAGCCUGAUAUUGUUACCUUUGUGAUUUCUGUAAAUCGCUCUCCUUCUCUUCGGGGUGGAUGGCAGCCCCCGCUACCCCUUGUUAUUACUCUGUAGGGUUUGGCAGUGUUCCCCGGUCUCAUACUCUCAUAAAGAUUUCCUAAUCAUUUGGUUAGAAUUUGGCUUACAAAGAAUAUCCGUUGAUCUACUGCGCUGAAAAUGGAAUGACAUCCUUCUGUCAGGGUACGAAGGAACUCUUCAACAGGGUGAUGGCCUGGGCCUAAAUCCAACAGGUCAAGUAGGACGAAUGCAACAGAGAGUUAAAUCAAGUUGGCAUUGUGCAAGUGAACAACUCCAUUGGCAAAUGGCAAUCUAAUGCAAUGCAUCUAUCUUAUAAUCUGCAGCAAUUUGUAAGGCUUUUGAGUGGGUGCGUCCGGGAACUUACAGCGACGCUAAUGGCAGGGCGACGGAGGCAGCGGCCCAUGUCACGGUGUCGGUGCUGCAUUGCACGCCGGAGUGCUCGUUGUUGCGGGCGCGAUACGUGUGAUCGGAGAACCGCCCGAUCAGGCACUCGUCGCCGCCGCACGGCGGAGACGACGCGGCGGUGCUCCCCGCGGUAGAAACUACACCGGCGGAGGGGAGUGGGGAAUCAUAUGGGGAGGGCAUGGAGUGGUCGAGCCUUGCGCUUGCAGUGGACAGAGGGCGGUGGGCCGGCGGCGGAUCGCCGAGAGGGGAGAUUCUCCCCGGGAGAAGAAGCGG